AGCAGCCGCGGUAAUUCCAGCUCCAAUAGCGUAUAUUAAAGUUGUUGCAGUUAAAAAGCUCGUAGUUGAAUUUCGGGAUCAAUAUUUCGGUCAUGCCGUUGGUAUGCACUGUUAUCAUUGAUUUCUCACCUUCUAGAGAACCGUAAUGCCAUUAAUUUGGUGUUACGGGGAAUUAGGACUGUUACCUUGAAAAAAUUAGAGUGUUUAAAGCAGGCUCACGCUUGAAUACAUUAGCAUGGAAUAAUGAAAUAGGACAUCCGAUUCUAUUUUGUUGGUUUCUAGGAUCGAUGUAAUGAUUAAUAGGGAUAGUUGGGGGCAUUAGUAUUCAAUUGUCAGAGGUGAAAUUCUUGGAUUUAUUGAAGACUAACUACUGCGAAAGCAUUUGCCAAGGAUGUUUUCAUUAAUCAAGAACGGAAGUUAGGGGAUCGAAGACGAUCAGAUACCGUCGUAGUCUUAACCAUAAACUAUGCCGACUAGGGAUCGGAUGAUGUUAAUUUUUUAAUGACACA
Molecule: ribosomal RNA, 509 nt
Filed under: Glomus sp. Glo1B
Lineage: Eukaryota; Fungi; Glomeromycota; Glomeromycetes; Glomerales; Glomeraceae
Description: SSU rRNA
Rfam family: Eukaryotic small subunit ribosomal RNA
Source: RNAcentral